RNAcentral lists this ribosomal RNA (330 nucleotides) under Triticum aestivum (bread wheat). RNAcentral's name for it is "partial small subunit ribosomal RNA". The record is from RNAcentral. Lineage: Eukaryota; Viridiplantae; Streptophyta; Magnoliopsida; Poales; Poaceae.
AUGGUUACGAAGAUAUAUUUCUUCCGCUAUGGAUCCUUCUCUAUUAAAGAUGGCUCAGAAAUUAGAUUCUGGGAGGACAAGUGGCUAGGUAAUGCCACAGUCCGGGAACAAUAUCCAACUCUAUAUAAUAUUGUUCGUCAUAAGGGUGAUACUAUCGCCAUGGUUAUGGAAUCCUUUCCUCCAAAUGUGAUGUUCAGACGAGAUUUAAUAGGCCGUAGACUUGCAUCGUGGAACGAUUUGAUAUAUCGUCUUGCCACGAUACAUUUAUCACAAGGUUGCGAUGAAUUUCGGUGGAAUCUAAAUGCGAGUGGUAAAUUCUCGGUAGAGUAA